GGAACAAGUAAAUAUAUAGUUCAUAUAAUAGCAGAGAUAAGGUCUGCAAGUUUCUACCGGGCUACCGUAAAUUGUCCGACUAUGAGCGAAAGUGUACCUAGG
Molecule: non-coding RNA, 102 nt
Filed under: Desulfosporosinus orientis
Lineage: Bacteria; Bacillati; Bacillota; Clostridia; Eubacteriales; Desulfitobacteriaceae
Also listed under: 1 other name
Description: Guanine sequence
Rfam family: Purine riboswitch aptamer
About the family: Riboswitches are metabolite binding domains within certain messenger RNAs that serve as precision sensors for their corresponding targets. Allosteric rearrangement of mRNA structure is mediated by ligand binding, and this results in modulation of gene expression. A class of riboswitches that selectively recognises guanine and becomes saturated at concentrations as low as 5 nM.
Source: RNAcentral